UGUCCGAUGGUGUAAUGGUAACACUGCAGAUUUUGGUUCUGCCUUUCUAGGUUCGAAUCCUAGUCGGACAA
This 71-nucleotide transfer RNA is filed under the name Bacteroidota bacterium. RNAcentral describes it as "Bacteroidetes bacterium (anaerobic digester metagenome) tRNA-Gln". It matches the Rfam family "tRNA". From Rfam's summary of the family: Transfer RNA (tRNA) molecules are approximately 80 nucleotides in length. Their secondary structure includes four short double-helical elements and three loops (D, anti-codon, and T loops). Further hydrogen bonds mediate the characteristic L-shaped molecular structure. tRNAs have two regions of fundamental functional importance: the anti-codon, which is responsible for specific mRNA codon recognition, and the 3' end, to which the tRNAs corresponding amino acid is attached (by aminoacyl-tRNA synthetases). tRNAs cope with the degeneracy of the genetic code in two manners: having more than one tRNA (with a specific anti-codon) for a particular amino acid; and 'wobble' base-pairing, i.e. permitting non-standard base-pairing at the 3rd anti-codon position. The record is from RNAcentral. Lineage: Bacteria; Pseudomonadati; Bacteroidota.